GUGGGGAAUCUUAGACAAUGGGGGAAACCCUGAUCUAGCCAUGCCGCGUGAGCGAUGAAGGCCUUAGGGUUGUAAAGCUCUUUCAGCUGGGAAGAUAAUGACGUUACCAGCAGAAGAAGCCCCGCCUAACUCCGUGCCAGCAGCCGCGUUAAUACGGAGGGGGCUAGGGUUGUUCGGAAUUACUGGGCGUAAAGCGCACGUAGGCGGACUGGAAAGUCAGGGGUGAAAUCCCGGGGCUCAACCACGGAACUGCCUUUGAAACUCCCAGUCUUGAGUUCGAGAGAGGUGAGUGGAAUUCCGAGUGUAGAGGUGAAAUUCGUAGAUAUUCGGAGGAACACCAGUGGCGAAGGCGGCUCACUGGCUCGAUACUGACGCUGAGGUGCGAAAGCGUGGGGAGCAAACAGGAUUAGAAACCCCUGUAGUCC
This 425-nucleotide ribosomal RNA is filed under the name uncultured bacterium. Its description in RNAcentral is "partial 16S ribosomal RNA". It matches the Rfam family "Bacterial small subunit ribosomal RNA", at positions 354 to 796 of the family's 1533-position model. The record is from RNAcentral.